Long non-coding RNA from Gopherus flavomarginatus (Mexican gopher tortoise), 945 nucleotides. RefSeq lists it as uncharacterized. The record is from RefSeq and is a predicted model, not a curated record. NCBI's taxonomy places the organism in Eukaryota, Metazoa, Chordata, Testudines, Testudinidae. The transcript has 5 exons.
GGUGUGUGAGGAGAGCACUAGUUCCUAGAGGUCAGGCAACAGCACAAGCAAAGCCUGUUGGGAAGGGGCACAGGUUAUAAGUGAAACCUGUUGCACAGAACAGCGAGACGGCUAGAGGGAGCAGCGUGUCUGGGAGUUUCUUCAGUCCUCAGUCUGGGGAAGGAGCCAGGGAUGGGCUGUGUCCAGAGGCCUAGAAAAGGCCAGAGACUAGAAAUGAAGCAAGGUGCAGCUGGAGAAGCAGUGGAGCAUGAACUCAAGGUGGAUAUGGAAUGAGGAUACUGUCAUCUCUCAAAACUUUCUGGACAUGAACCCCAGACCCUUUUUUGGCCUCUUCAGAGUUUCCUGUAUUUCUCCACCUUUGGGUUGGCUGGCUAUGGGCCUGCACUUUGCUGCAGUUUUUCCUGGCCUACAGACUCUCUAAAGAUACUACAGUAUGUCAAGCAACACUUCAAAAAAAGAGAAGAUAUUUCUCUUUACCUCAGAGUCUGUUGCAGAAGGACAUUCUGGAGUCCAUCUAGAGGCUGCUGACCUGAAUUCACAUUGGGCCAAUGGUGCACCAGUGCUGGGGCUCCCCUACUACAAGCUGAAAUCACUAAAAGAGCUAAGCUUACUGAGCUGAGAUCACUGAGUGCUGUGUUAACUAGUGGGGGAGCCUGAAGAUCUAUCGCUAAGCGGCUGGUAGAGCGGAGCAGGUUGGAGCAGCCCAUGGAACAGUGAGCAGAGUGGAGCGGUUUGCAGGGAUGGCUGGAGUGACUCACGGGUCGGCUGGAGGAGCGGCACAGUGGGUGUAGUGGAGCUGGUUGUGGUGAAGGCUGCAGCAGAACUCCACGAAGAGGCAGAACAGUUGGCCCUGGCCCACGUACGGUGCCCCUUAACACUCUAUGUGUGUGUGACCCCCCUAUUUCCACCCAGGCUGGGGGGGUAAAACUCUGCAGAUAUACUUUU